GUUGUAUCAUAAACAAGCACUUAUAUAAUUGUCGUAAUAUGGACGACGCGUUUCUACCUGACUGCCGUAAACAGUCGGACUAUAAGUGAGGCAUAGGCAUGA
This 102-nucleotide non-coding RNA is filed under the name Brochothrix campestris. RNAcentral's name for it is "Guanine sequence". It matches the Rfam family "Purine riboswitch aptamer". Rfam says of the family: Riboswitches are metabolite binding domains within certain messenger RNAs that serve as precision sensors for their corresponding targets. RNAcentral also lists the same sequence under 1 other name. Lineage: Bacteria; Bacillati; Bacillota; Bacilli; Caryophanales; Listeriaceae. The record is from RNAcentral.